CCGCAUUGGUUCCGAACUCGCAAACUGGGCUGGUCGGUAUAACCUCGAGUUCCAGACUUGCAGUUUCUUGGUUAAAAACAAAAACACAGAACGAACGAUUCCCGGCUUGUCAUCUCAAAGACGAUUAUAACAGUAUCGACAUAUCCGUUAUGCAAUGGAAGCCAUAACUUGGAGAGGGGCUGCCGGCGUGACGAUCAUGAUUUUCCUGACGUCGUGGUCGGUUUUCUAUCAACGAUAUAAGUCCUGGGACUCCAACCAUCGGGAUGUUCCAAAACCGAUGGUGUCCAAACUUCGCCUCAUCCAGCCACCAGUUCAACCAUGCCUCCUCAACCAGUCUCUCUUCUUCGACCAGACCACGUACCCAACCUACACGGAGGUUGUUGUCUUAAACAGGGACCGCCUGUAUCGCAAAGGAGACGUCCUUACCGUCAAGGUGGUAGCAAGAGAUAAAGAAGGAAGGUCGAAGACGUACGGAGGAGACUUUUUCCGUGCCAGACUGGUCAGCAGUGACCGUUCGCUACAGGCCAGUAGUGCCGGUCACGUCACUGACCACUGUAACGGUAUCUACACCGUGCAGUUCCCGCUCUACUGGGUAGGGAACGUUUAGAUAAAGAUCCAGCUUGUCCAUCCAAGCGAGGCAGUGAAGGUUCUACAGAGACUGCGACAAAUUCCGAACAAGAGAGUCUUCUACUGCAGAUUCGAGGACAAGUCCAAGUCCAAGUCAAAAUCUACACAGCAAUGCUUCAGCUCUAACAACCCCAGCCUACCACCCCACCGACAGUGCGAUUUCUCCAAACUAGAGGCAAACGGAACCUGGAUUUGUGAGAAACCGGAGAAACUACCGUGUUCCGCCAUCACAAAGUGCCAAUGGUACUUUAAGGGCAUAACAAGGGUACUGGGCUUCGUGUCUGAAGCGGAAAAGAAACUUUUCAAAAAGCCAUAUCUUGAGACGGAACUUGAAGUAGAUCCCAAGGAGCCCAUACGAGUCCUUGAGACAGAACUGCCCACACCAGAACACCUUCCAGCGUG
Branchiostoma floridae (Florida lancelet) is the source of this 1029-nucleotide long non-coding RNA. RefSeq lists it as uncharacterized. Lineage: Eukaryota; Metazoa; Chordata; Leptocardii; Amphioxiformes; Branchiostomatidae. The transcript has 5 exons. The record is from RefSeq and is a predicted model, not a curated record.